GGAAAACGGAAAAGAAAUCGUUUUGAUUAGAAACGGAAAUCUAUAUAUUUUUAUUAGUAAACAAUAAUAACAGUAGAAACAACACUUGAGAAAUCUACGAUUUCUCAGUUGCCGAAAAAAAAAAGGGACAUAAGCUUUUGCUUUGGUUAUCUCUUUAUAUACAUAAUAAAAAAGAAACGUCAGCUUCCUUCCUUAGCUCUAACUUCUUCUCAUUUUCCUUUUGUCUCCACUGGAAAUUGAGUAAAAAUAUGAAAAGUAAAAUAAAAUAAACGACAAAUAACGAAGCCCCAAACGACUUCCCAAAAAUCAGAUCUCCUCAAAAUCAGGCAACUUCCGCCGGAGGAAGGUUAAGAUCAAGAGAUAAUCCCUUGUUACAAGGACUAAGAUCAUGGUCAUAAUCAACAACAGAUGAAGAAUCUGAAUCACUCUGAACCCCGCCGUUCAUCAUAGCCGCCGUCCGAUCAAAUCUGCACAUGUUAGAUUUAGUGUGCUUUAUGUUCUUCCCCUGAGCAAAAGCGUCGAAAAAGAACCUUGGGCCAGAAACCGUCGCGAGUGAAACACACGCGCCCCCGGGAUAGCUACCACCAUUGGAGAAAUGGCUGUGGCGAUGAUAGCUGGGAAUGUUGAGAGUGAGGUCUAGAGGUGGUGGAGGAGAAGCAGCGCGUGGAGGCGGGGGAGAGGAAGACUCGACGGUGCUGGUUUGGCUUGGGCUGCGCGCGAUGGUGACAACAGGUGCCGCAGCGGCCGCGUUGUUAAGUUCGGUAACCGACGGAAAAUUAGUCUUGGCCUUGGAGCCGCGGAACUCACGAGCAGCAGCAUCGUAAGCACGCGCAGCCUCUUCAGCAGUGUCGAAAGUGCCAAGCCAGACACGGGUUUUCUUGCCGGGGUCACGGAUCUCGGCCGCGUAACGGCCCCAUGGGCGCUUCCUAACGCCUCUGUAACGGAUCUCCUUGGUAGCGGAGUUGGGUUUGGAGCUGCUAUUCGAUCCGGCUCUUGGAGCCAUCCUUGUUCAAGCUGUUUCAGAUUUUGAAUAAAGAAAGAGGAAAGAGAAGGCGAUGACGGUUGGGUUAAGAAGAGGCAGGAGGCGCGUUGGGUUUUAUAGAGAGGAGGAGAGAGAAAUGUGGGAUUUGAAGGUUAAAGCAACGCUCCUUUUGGGG
This 1157-nucleotide unclassified non-coding RNA is filed under the name Hevea brasiliensis (rubber tree). The record is from RNAcentral. Lineage: Eukaryota; Viridiplantae; Streptophyta; Magnoliopsida; Malpighiales; Euphorbiaceae.